Jaculus jaculus (lesser Egyptian jerboa) is the source of this 162-nucleotide small nuclear RNA. Its record names the gene U1. It matches the Rfam family "U1 spliceosomal RNA". From Rfam's summary of the family: U1 is a small nuclear RNA (snRNA) component of the spliceosome (involved in pre-mRNA splicing). Its 5' end forms complementary base pairs with the 5' splice junction, thus defining the 5' donor site of an intron. There are significant differences in sequence and secondary structure between metazoan and yeast U1 snRNAs, the latter being much longer (568 nucleotides as compared to 164 nucleotides in human). The record is from Ensembl. Lineage: Eukaryota; Metazoa; Chordata; Mammalia; Rodentia; Dipodidae.
AUGCUUUCCUGACAGGGAGAUACCGUGAUCAUGGAGGUGGUUUUCCCAGGGUGAGGCUUGUCCAUUGCACUCCAGAUGUGCUGAUCUCUGCAAUCUCCCCAAAUGUGGGGCACUUGACCGCACAAUUUGUGGUAGUAAGGGCUGCAUUCAUGCUCUCCCCUA